CCUACGGGUGGCAGCAGUGAGGAAUAUUGGUCAAUGGGCGCAAGCCUGAACCAGCCACGCCGCGUGAGGGAUGAAGGUCCUAUGGAUUGUAAACCCCUUUUGUCGGGGAGCACGGCCCGCCAUGUCUGGUGGAUAGGAGAGUACCCGCUGAAAACGCAUCGGCAAACUCCGUGCAAGCAGCCGCGGUAAUACGGAGGUUGCGAGCGUUAUCCGGAUUUAUUGGGUUUAAAGGAUGCGCAGGCGGGCUGUAAAGCCGGCGGUAAAAAUUCAGGGCUCAACCCUGUCGAGCAGUCGGAACUGGCAGCCUUGAGUGGGGGAGAGGUAAGCGGAAUUCGUGGUGUAGCGGUGAAAUGCGUAGAUAUCAGGCAGAACGCCGGUGGCGAAGGCGGCAGACCGGCGCCCAACUGACGCUGAGGCGCGAAAGCGUGGGGAGCGAACAGGAUUAGAUACCCGAGUAGUC
RNAcentral lists this ribosomal RNA (460 nucleotides) under uncultured bacterium. Its description in RNAcentral is "partial 16S ribosomal RNA". It matches the Rfam family "Bacterial small subunit ribosomal RNA", at positions 338 to 795 of the family's 1533-position model. The record is from RNAcentral.